This 909-nucleotide ribosomal RNA is filed under the name Macaca assamensis (Assam macaque). Its description in RNAcentral is "partial 16S ribosomal RNA". The stretch from base 151 to 909 matches the Rfam family "Bacterial large subunit ribosomal RNA", at positions 566 to 1898 of the family's 2925-position model. Lineage: Eukaryota; Metazoa; Chordata; Mammalia; Primates; Cercopithecidae. The record is from RNAcentral.
GCCAACACUAGCCCUAAGCAUGACCAAUACUAAUACCAAGCCAACACACACUAAACCAUUUACCCGCAUAUAGUAUAGGCGAUAGAAAUUUUAAUCUGGCGCUAUAGACAUAGUACCGUAAGGGAAAGAUACAAAACCUCUCAAGCACAAAACAGCAAGGACUAACCCCUGUACCUUUCGCAUAAUGGAUUAGCUAGAAACAAUUUCACAAAGAGAACUACAAGCCAAAUUCCCCGAAACCAGACGAGCUACCCAAGAACAGCUAAAAGAGCACACCCGUCCAUGUAGCAAAAUGGUGGGAAGAUUUUUGGGUAGAGGUGACAAGCCUACCGAGCCUGGUGAUAGCUGGUUAUCCAAGACAGAAUCUUAGUUCAACUUUAAGCUUACCUAUAGAACUACCUAAUCCCCCUGUAAGCUUAAUUGCUAGUCUAAAGAGGGACAGCUCUUUAGACACCAGGAAAAAACCUUAUAGAGAGAGUAAAAUCCUUAACUACCAUAGUUGGCCUAAAAGCAGCCAUCAAUUAAGAAAGCGUUCAAGCUCAACACUAGCCAUCUUAAAAAUACCAAACAUAUAGCCGAACUCCUCACACCACAUUGGAUCAAUCUAUCACCACAUAGAAGCAACAAUGCUAGUAUAAGUAACAUGAAUAUUUUCUCCACUGCAUAAGCCUAAAUCGGACCGAAAACCUCACCGAUACCUAACAGCCAGGCAUAGCAAGCACAAACAAGCCCAUGCUACCUUCACUGUUGACCCGACACAGGCAUGCCUCAAGGAAAGGUUAAAAAAAGUAAAAGGAACUCGGCAAACUCAAACCCCGCCUGUUUACCAAAAACAUCACCUCUAGCAUUACCAGUAUUAGAGGCACUGCCUGCCCAGUGACACACGUUUAACGGCCGCGGUACCCUGAC